GACAUUACAGAAAUGGAUUUAGAAAAUAAAAUGACUCAAAGCAAAUGAUUCACCGAAUAAAGAUGAGAAUAAGACUCAAAUCAAAAAUGCAAAGGCACAGAACAAAUCAUAAAACUCAAGACAGUGAAGAAAUGUAAAGCACAACGCGAAAGUGAAAUAAACUCAACAGAUACACGAAUCAAAUUUAACUCAGAAUAGACAAAACAAAUCAGAGACAAUGAACAAAUAAGAAUCACGAAUCAAAUGAAACAAAUACAACUAAGACAACACAUACCAGAAACGAAAAACAGAGACAUGAAUCAAAACAAAAAUACGAAACAUAAAACUAAGAACAGACAGAGAUACUUAGCUUUGACGCGUGGACGUAACCGAAGCUCUGACUACCACUUGAUGGAAGAGGCCUUGAGGAAGAGGACCGAUAGGCGACGCAAGCUCGAUCCAAAUCUCCUCGAAGCUUCUCCGACACAGAAGACACAGCGGAAUGAUGAAGGAAGCUCUAGAUUGGUAAGAAAUCGGAAGAGAUCAAAGAGAAACCCUAAAACCAUGAACGAACCCUAGAAAAGAGGGAANNN
RNAcentral lists this long non-coding RNA (572 nucleotides) under Vigna radiata. Its description in RNAcentral is "long non-coding RNA (VRAD_LNC005797)". The record is from RNAcentral. Lineage: Eukaryota; Viridiplantae; Streptophyta; Magnoliopsida; Fabales; Fabaceae.